UUUAGCUGUUGGCCAUCCUCCAUCCAAGGCCCAUUACCCAUCUUUGUAAAUGUUACAAGGCCCUGCUCCAUAACCUUUCCACUAUCAAAUUCAGCAUCCACAGCUCCNNNNNNUCCCGGAAAUUUUUCUUCAACAGAAUCAAAGUGGUCUCUCUUGAUCAUGUUCCCAAGCAUCACGAACAUUGUGAGAGUGAGUAUACCAGCAACAACUUGCCUCAAAUCAACCCCCAUUUUCAGAGCUCNNNNNNCUCAAUAAAUAAAUAUAUCUGGUAUGAGUGAGUGAAGAAGUGAAGAUAGAAAGAAAGGUUUUAGAGCCAAGAAAUUGAAGGGUUCUUUAUUGGAUAAAUUGAAGGAUUCUUUAUUGGAUAAAGAUUUAAAGCAUUGUGUGUUAUAAAGAUUAGAUCAGAGAGAAGAAAAGGUAAGAUGAAAUGGAAAGAAUAACAAGAACAAGAAGGAGAUAAGAGAAGACAGAAAGAGAGCGCGAGCGGGACAGGAGAAGCGUAUGAGCAUAUCCGGUUUUGGUUUUUGGGGCCUCGUUCGCAGUAGCUAGUGGUGGUAGGUCUUGGUAUCACUAUCGAAGACACACACAC
This 589-nucleotide unclassified non-coding RNA is filed under the name Hevea brasiliensis (rubber tree). The record is from RNAcentral. Lineage: Eukaryota; Viridiplantae; Streptophyta; Magnoliopsida; Malpighiales; Euphorbiaceae.